GCCCGCAGCGAUACUGACGUGC
RNAcentral lists this small nuclear RNA (22 nucleotides) under Arabidopsis thaliana (thale cress). Its description in RNAcentral is "snRNA_16189". Lineage: Eukaryota; Viridiplantae; Streptophyta; Magnoliopsida; Brassicales; Brassicaceae. The record is from RNAcentral.